GAAACUUCAAGUGGAAUCAACUGGAAAAAAAUAACCAGCAGUGUAUCGGAGAAUUGUGACUGUUUAGUCCAUCAAUUGAUAGUGUUUAUUUGGAAUCCGUUCUGGUAGCCAACAAAUCUACUUCCUACCUUCGACGACGAUAUUGUUUUCAUUUACGUUCUCAUUGGCCACGGUUUGUGCGGAAGCCCCAGCCAGAGCGAGGGCCAGGAUCAGGUAGAGAAACCUCAUGUUGAUAGCUAUCCAGAUGGUUUUCGAAUGUACAGCUUACUGCUUUGGGGACCGGGCCCCACUUAUAUACCCUCAUAUUCCUGGUCAUGCUUAAAUGCUAUUUUCAAUGCAUGUUUAAUGAAAAGUUUAAGCUAGAUUUCAUAACUGGAAUCGAUGUGGCUGGUAACUGUUUCCUCAACUAAACACUAUCGGUAGAGAAUUCGGAUGCGCUUUACUGGAUCGAUUCUGUUAGUUGAAUGAGACCACAGGGACACGGACUGGAUCAGGAUCGAACGCGAAACGUACUAAAGCUAAAUAUUAGUGCAAUAUUGUUCAUUAAGGCUGAGGUCUUAUGCCACGCUAGGUUACCUAUCACCGCACCUAUGUACAUGUAUGGAGUAUCUCGACAAUGACUUUCUACCAGAUUUGUGUCCAAGAUAAUCAAACUAAUCGUUCAUAAUUAUAUUUAGGUAUAUUUUUAUCAUAUAUUUAACUGGGGAAUGCCAUCUCUUUAAUCCUUCAAACCGAUUAUAGUGUUUAUUUAUCAUCCCUUCUGGUCUCCACAAAACUACUUCCUACUUCCUACUUCCCUCCUUUGAUGACGAUUGUGUUGUUAUUUCUGUUCAUAUCGGCGUGAACGGAAACCGUCGCCAGAAGAAGGGCCAGGAUAAGAUACAAAAAAAUCAUUUUUUUGCUAGCCAAAUGGUUUUGGAAGGUAGAGUCCGCUAACUGGCGAACCCUAUUUAUACCCACAUGCUUAUUGGUCAUGCUUAAAUGCUACUUUUAAUGGGUAUUUAACUUAAAAGUCAAGUAUGAAGUAUUACUAGACGGGAAAUCUGGAACUAAUAAUGGUUACCAAAAUUACUUGGUAAUUUCCCAUUUGUACUUAAUGUAAGGUUCAACAGGGAUUCUAUAAUAUGAAGUUAUUCGAAUUGCUAUAUUUGAAGAACUUUUGUUCUGUACUUUUUUCUACCUUUAUAAAUGGCUACAUGGAUCCCGAAAAUCUUUCGAAAAUGUACUUCCAUCUCUUGUUUGUUUCUCUGGUGCUAGAAGGUUGUACUACCUUAUAAAUGAUUUAAAUACAAAACUGUUACGAUAAUUUCCUGGCAAAA
This is a long non-coding RNA of Drosophila pseudoobscura, 1319 nucleotides long. RefSeq lists it as uncharacterized. NCBI's taxonomy places the organism in Eukaryota, Metazoa, Arthropoda, Insecta, Diptera, Drosophilidae. The transcript is spliced from 2 exons. The record is from RefSeq and is a predicted model, not a curated record.